AGGAGCUAGACUCUUCAGUACAACAUUGGCUUUUCUCCCCUCUGUGGAGACUUGGAGACAUUUCAUAUCUACAAAUGGAGCUCAGGAACUUUGGAUUAAGGCUAACCUUGCUUAAAGAUCAGCUAUAAUCAAGCUGUAUGGGGAUAACACCUGUGAUCCCAGCACUCGGAAAGCAGAGGCAGGAGGAUGAUAAGAUCACAGUAAAUCUGCACUACAUAGAGAGGAAGAGCCUUCGAUUGCCACUGCCUUUAGAGCUUCACUCUUGGUACCAAAUCACAGGAGGUCUGUCCAGAGUAACCAGGAAAUGUGACGACGGGCUCUGUGAAAGGAAAGUCCCUGGCUUUUCACCCAAAGCAAUGCAAGUCUUGGUUUGAGAGGACCAGG
This 384-nucleotide long non-coding RNA is filed under the name Cricetulus griseus (Chinese hamster). RNAcentral's name for it is "lncRNA (ENSCGRG00015035126.1)". Lineage: Eukaryota; Metazoa; Chordata; Mammalia; Rodentia; Cricetidae. The record is from RNAcentral.